RNAcentral lists this ribosomal RNA (115 nucleotides) under Pteropus alecto (black flying fox). Lineage: Eukaryota; Metazoa; Chordata; Mammalia; Chiroptera; Pteropodidae. The record is from RNAcentral.
AUCUAUGGCCAUGCCAGCCUGAACAAGCCUGAUCCCAUGUAAUCUCAAAAGCUAAGCAGGAUCAGGCUUGGUACUUGGAUGGGAGACCACCUAGGAAGACCAGAUCCUGUAGGUG